Molecule: small nucleolar RNA, 148 nt
Organism: Pistacia vera
Lineage: Eukaryota; Viridiplantae; Streptophyta; Magnoliopsida; Sapindales; Anacardiaceae
Product: small nucleolar RNA snoR135
Exons: 1
Source: RefSeq, a predicted model, not a curated record
AUGGCAGGGAUCUGUGUAUAAGCAUUGUGCUACAAUCAUUGCACUCUUUCUGAAAGAGUUCCCUGCAAAAUGAUUGUUUGGGGAAGAUGGGCAGUUGUGUCUCAUUUUUCGGCCAUUGAGAACUACAACAAUCAUCUUCUGCACAUCA